Molecule: small nuclear RNA, 100 nt
Filed under: Microcebus murinus (gray mouse lemur)
Lineage: Eukaryota; Metazoa; Chordata; Mammalia; Primates; Cheirogaleidae
Source: RNAcentral
UAGCUCACUUCAGCAGCACAUAUACUAAAAUGGGAACAACACAGAGAAGAUUAGCAAGGCACAAGGAUGACAGCAAAUUCAUGAAGCGUUCCAUAUGUAU